RNAcentral lists this ribosomal RNA (722 nucleotides) under uncultured Bacteroidales bacterium. RNAcentral describes it as "bacterial SSU rRNA". It matches the Rfam family "Bacterial small subunit ribosomal RNA", at positions 20 to 731 of the family's 1533-position model. The record is from RNAcentral. Lineage: Bacteria; Pseudomonadati; Bacteroidota; Bacteroidia; Bacteroidales.
UGGCUCAGGAUGAGCGCUAGCUACAGGCUUAACACAUGCAAGUCGAGGGGCAGCAUGGUCUUAGCUUGCUAAGGCCGAUGGCGACCGGCGCACGGGUGAGUAACACGUAUCCAACCUGCCGUCUACUCUUGGACAGCCUUCUGAAAGGAAGAUUAAUACAAGAUGGCAUCAUGAGUCCGCAUGUUCACAUGAUUAAAGGUAUUCCGGUAGACGAUGGGGAUGCGUUCCAUUAGAUAGUAGGCGGGGUAACGGCCCACCUAGUCUUCGAUGGAUAGGGAUUCUGAGAGGAAGGUCCCCCACAUUGGAACGGAGACACGGUCCAAACUCCUACGGGAGGCAGCAGUGAGGAAUAUUGGUCAAUGGGCGAGAGCCUGAACCAGCCAAGUAGCGUGAAGGAUGACUGCCCUAUGGGUUGUAAACUUCUUUUAUAAAGGAAUAAAGUCGGGUAUGGAUACCCGUUUGCAUGUACUUUAUGAAUAAGGAUCGGCUAACUCCGUGCCAGCAGCCGCGGUAAUACGGAGGAUCCGAGCGUUAUCCGGAUUUAUUGGGUUUAAAGGGAGCGUAGAUGGAUGUUUAAGUCAGUUGUGAAAGUUUGCGGCUCAACCGUAAAAUUGCAGUUGAUACUGGAUAUCUUGAGUGCAGUUGAGGCAGGCGGAAUUCGUGGUGUAGCGGUGAAAUGCUUAGAUAUCACGAAGAACUCCGAUUGCGAAGGCAGCCUGCUA